This 253-nucleotide ribosomal RNA is filed under the name uncultured bacterium. RNAcentral's name for it is "partial 16S ribosomal RNA". It matches the Rfam family "Bacterial small subunit ribosomal RNA", at positions 524 to 776 of the family's 1533-position model. The record is from RNAcentral.
UACGGAGGGGACUAGCGUUGUUCGGAAUUACUGGGCGUAAAGCGCGCGUAGGCGGACCUGCAAGUCGGGGGUGAAAGCCCGAGGCUCAACCUCGGAACUGCCUUCGAUACUGCGGGUCUCGAGUCCGGGAGAGGCGAGUGGAAUUCCUAGUGUAGAGGUGAAAUUCGUAGAUAUUAGGAAGAACACCAGUGGCGAAGGCGGCUCACUGGCCCGGUACUGACGCUGAGGCGCGAAAGCGUGGGGAGCAAACAGG